This 1482-nucleotide ribosomal RNA is filed under the name uncultured bacterium. RNAcentral's name for it is "bacterial SSU rRNA". It matches the Rfam family "Bacterial small subunit ribosomal RNA". The record is from RNAcentral.
AGAGUUUGAUUAUGGCUCAGGACGAACGCUGGCGGCGGGCCUAACACAUGCAAGUCGAACGCACUCGACCUUCGGGUCAUAUGAGUGAGUGGCGAACGGGUGAGUAACACGUGAGAAACCUGCCCCGAAGACUGGAAUAACCCGAGGAAACUCGGGCUAAUACCGGAUGCCCCCAACUGAUCGCAUGAUCAGUUGAGGAAAUGCUCCGGCGCUUCGGGAGGGUCUCGCGGCCUAUCAGCUAGUUGGUGAGGUAACGGCUCACCAAGGCAACGACGGGUAGCUGGUCUGAGAGGACGAUCAGCCACACUGGGACUGAGACACGGCCCAGACUCCUACGGGAGGCAGCAGUGGGGAAUCUUGCGCAAUGGACGAAAGUCUGACGCAGCCACGCCGCGUGAGGGAUGAAGGCUUUCGGGUCGUAAACCUCUUUCAGCAGGGAAGAAAAUGACGGUACCUGCAGAAGAAGCUCCGGCCAACUACGUGCCAGCAGCCGCGGUAACACGUAGGGAGCAAGCGUUGUCCGGAUUUAUUGGGCGUAAAGAGCUCGUAGGCUGUUCAGUAAGUCAGGUGUGAAAACUCGAGGCUCAACCUCGAGACGCCACUUGAUACUGCUGUGACUAGAGUCCGGUAGAGGAGUGUGGAAUUCCUGGUGUAGCGGUGAAAUGCGCAGAUAUCAGGAGGAACACCAGCAGCGAAGGCGGCACUCUGGGCCGGUACUGACGCUGAGGAGCGAAAGCAUGGGGAGCGAACAGGAUUAGAUACCCUGGUAGUCCAUGCCGUAAACGUUGGGCACUAGAUGUGGGAUCUCGCUAACAGAUUCCGUGUCGCAGCUAACGCAUUAAGUGCCCCGCCUGGGGAGUACGGCCGCAAGGCUAAAACUCAAAGGAAUUGACGGGGGCCCGCACAAGCGGUGGAUUAUGUGGUUUAAUUCGAAGCAACGCGCAGAACCUUACCUGGGCUUGAAAUCCCACGAACCUGAUAGAGAUAUCGGGGUGCCUCUCGAGGAAUGUGGAGACAGGCGCUGCAUGGCCGUCGUCAGCUCGUGUUGUGAAAUGUUGGGUUAAGUCUCGCAACGAGCGCAACCCCUAUCUUUAGUUGCCAGCAUUAAGUUGGGCACUCUAGAGAGACUGCCUGGGCUAACCAGGAGGAAGGUGGGGAUGACGUCAAGUCCUCAUGGCCCUUAUGUCCAGGGCUACACACGUAAUACAAUGGUCGGUACAGAGGGAAGCGAACUCGCGAGGGGGAGCAAAUCUCAAAAAACCGAUCUCAGUCCGGAUUGGAGUCUGCAACUCGACUCCAUGAAGUUGGAAUCGCUAGUAAUCGCGGAUCAGCACGCCGCGGUGAAUACGUUCCCGGGCCUUGUACACACCGCCCGUCACACCAUGGGAGUUGGUUUUACCUGAAGUCGUGGCCCUAACAGCUUGCUGAGGGGAGCGCCUACGGUCGGACCGAUGACUGGGGUGAAGUCGUAACAAGGUAACC